AUAAAGCUUCAUUGAUCACCAUUAAAAAUGGCUUAAUUAAAUGGACAGAUAUCUCCUAUCUAUUUAAGUUGGCUAGGUUCAAUGUUUUAAAGAUAUCAGAUCUCCCAAAUAGAUUCAAUAUAAUCCAAUAAGAAUCCUAAUAGGUUUUUGGUAGAACUUAAAAUGCUAAAUCCCAAGUUUACAUAAAACUGGCCAUUUAUAUGUUUUAUAUAAAAGGGCCAAGAAUAGCUAAGACAUUCAUGAAAUGGAAGAAUCAAGAGGGAAGACUUGGUCUAACAAAUAUCAAGAAUUAUUGUGAAACUGAAGUAACAAAGGCAAUGUAGUAAAAGAAAGGACAGAUGUGAGCAGCUCAAUGAAAAAACAUAUGCGUACAUACUCGGAAGCAGCACUAUAGAAGUAAGGAGAUGACUAGAUUCCCAAUAAAUUAUGAUAAGAACAUUGAAUACCUGCAUAAGAAAAAUGAAAUUGACACUUAUCUUACAACAUAGCCAAAAUUAGUUCCAGUUGGAUUAAAAGAAAAAGUGUAAUAACGUCAUAAAACAUUCAGAAUAUAAGAUAGAAGCAUCUCUUCAUGGUCUCAAGGCAGGGAAGAAUUUCCUAAUCUCCUCAACAAUUAAGGAAGAGAUGAUGUUCAUAAUUACAUCAAAUUUAAGAUAUAUUUUCAUCAAAAUAAACCUUACAAGGGCGAAAAGAUAGUUAUGUAAAGAGACAUUAUUACAAAUUUAUAUCAACAUCACUAUUCAAACCUAUAUUCAUAUUUAUAUAACCAAGAAAGGUUAUUUACAGAACUUGCAAAUCAAUAAGAGAAAAUCAAUAAGAUACAAAUCAAUAAAAGAUAAGUCAAUAGAAUAAUGGGUAAAAAACAUAAAUAAGCACCUUAUAAAAGAGGAUAUACAUUUGGAUAUUAAAUAUGUAAACAUUGUUAAAUUUCAUCUUUAAACAGAGAAAAGCACAUUAAGACUACAAUGAAAUAUAUACUCACAAGAAUGACUAAAAUGAAAACACCGAGACUAUCAAGUGCUAGCAAGGCAACAAAUCAACAGGAACUCUCAAGAAAACCUCUGAAAACAGGAAUGUGCAUUAGUUUCCUAUUGCUGAUGUAACAAAUUACCACAAAUGUACUGACUUAAAACAAUGCAAAUUUAUUCUCUUACAGUUGUGGAGGCUAGAAGUCAAGAAUCAUUUUCACUUGGGCUAAAGUCAAGGUGUCAGCAGAGGAAAUCUGCAGGAUAACUCAGGAGAAGGCUUUAACUGUGGAGUGCCCAGAAUGAGAAACGCUCUGAGGAGGAAGACAAACAAGUACCCCUCUUCUGCCCUGGACUUCAGUUAGGGAGCUCCAAACCUGAGCACACACUGUCAGAGUAGCUGGAGAGGGGAAUAAAGGUGAGACCACCUUACAGGAAGCCCGAUUCUAAGAACUGAACAUAAAUUUGAAAAUAACUCUCUUGAUUUUAUAUUAUUUUUAAAAGAACUGUCCCUGGAACUGUGAUCACAUAUUCCCAAAACAUCUGAGCGUAUUGUGAUACCUAAAAACAAAAGCAUUUGUUAUCUUCUAUGCCAGAUUUUAGACUUAAAAAUCUGAUAUUUAAAAGAGGGUUUUCUGAAAAAACUUUCCAACACAGCGAAAAUAAUAACUCAAUAGCACACACACAGAAACAAAAGAAAGAAAUUGCAGACUAUAAAAGGAAUUUGCUUUUACUAGCAUAGAAGUGAGAAAAAUAGGGAGUAGAAAAGAAUUUACUAAAUUUUUGCUCUACCUAAUUUAGUUCUUAUAAAUAAUUUCUUUCCACCAAAAAAGAAUGCAAUGAAGGUUUUCCAACUCAUUCUUUUGUUCCAGAGAUUUAUUGCUGUGAAAAUGUUAGCUCUCAUCUGAUUUAGUGUCUGAGUGGUGGUGUCCUCUGGUAGAAAGAGGAAUCCCUUGACAAGCCCAGGCAGUCUUGGCCCCUGGAGGUCUUCCAAUAAUUAGAGUCAAGCAAAUCCCUGGAGGAAACCAGUAAGUCUGAGAAGCAUUCCUCUUGUCUCUCUGUCGUUCUCUGCGCACUUGGAGUUAUUCUGAUAAAGCCACUCUGCGUCUCAAGAACUCAGCUUGCUAAGCUGUUGAAACUAAGGUAGAGAUAAUUGACAGGAGAUGAAAGGGCCUGGAUGCUGGGCUGGAAGUACUGGGGGUGUGAGCAGGUCUGAGCUAUGAGCUGCAGUAUCAUGUAAGUACAGACAGGCAGUGUAAACACGGUGAUUACGGGACUGCGCUUUCAGGUGAGUAGACUAUGUGGGAGUAAAUUCCAGGCUGCUUUUCAAUUGAACAAACAACAUUUUCAGGUUCCUGCUGUUUCGUUUGAUUCAUUUCUACUGCCAGGCUCUAGCGAUAUAAAAUCGUAUGAAAGUGCCCAUUUUGCAAUGUUCUGGGAUUAUGUCCUGCAGCAUAAGAGCCCAGCCAGUCUGCCCAGUGUCUACGUUUGAUCACACAAAUUCAGCUGUGCUAUAGAAUAACUGCUCUUCAAUUAGGAACGCUGUCAAUACAAUUGAUUCUUCCAGAAACCCUGGGGCAGAUUGGUCAUCUGUUGAACACACUUGCAGAGUCACUGCCUACUCAUCCCAAAAGGGAUGGUCAGAAGUUACUUAUCCCAGUAACUUCAAGACCUGCAUAAUGGCUGAAUCUGCCUCUCCUAAUCUGUCUUUCUAUUCCCUUCCAAAGGUAACCUCCACCCUGUGAGGCCAGCCUUGGGCCUGCUGGAAUUAUCCCUGACUUUAGGUCAUUGCUCAUAUAUGACAUUUAUUCCCCAUCAAGGGUUUCAUUUAUUUUACUAUUUAGCUAUUUCCUAGGAUUAAGGUGGUGAUUUACCUUAUAGUAAGCUGUGAAAGUUCUUAUUAUUUUAGUCAACACAUUAAACCUAGAGAGGCAUCUAAAUUUUAUGACUCUAAUUAGAAAUGAAUUCCUAGAAUUUUUCUCUAAAUCAUCUGAGGUGGUGGUAUCCCACUAACCCUAACACAAGGGGACAUGUACACAGAGAACUGAGCAUAGUAGAUUGGACGUUACCUUGAAUUUUCUUUAAAGUCCUGGAUCUCUUUGGGGAGGACUGGUAGAUGUCCCUAUGAGUUCAUGGAUGUAAUGCUCUCAGAAUAGUGUCUGUGGCCUAGUAAACACCUAGUGUUAGCCCUUAUUUUUUCUUCACUUUUCACUGUUCUCCUGUAAAGACACAGCUGGAUAUCUGUUGAGUCUUACUAAUAACCAACGUGAAUGGAGAGGUGAGAAGACUCCACUCCACUGCUAACUGAGGUGCUAAAUGAGAAGAUAACACUACCUCACCUGACUGUACGUCACUGCCCUCUAAAUUCUGUUGAUUCAGGGAUUAUGGAGAAAGGAGAUGAACACAUUCCUCCCCACUUUCUGGGAGCCCAGUCUGGCCACAUUUCCAGCUGUGAGCAAGUGGUGGAUGUCCUCAGCCUGUACAUGUUGAUGUUUCACACGUGCUGAGAUUCAGAGACAGCAGGGCACCCCUCCUAUGGCCAAUUCCCAGGGAAGGGCAGGAUUGAGAUUUCCUUUUUAGCCACUGGCGAGACCAAGGUUAACUUGAAAAAUGAUCCAGGAUGCACAAAAAAUUGAAAACACACUGGCAGGACCAAGUGGCUCACUCCUGUAAUCCCAGCACUUUAGGAGGUCGA
Non-coding RNA from Macaca mulatta (Rhesus monkey), 3660 nucleotides. Lineage: Eukaryota; Metazoa; Chordata; Mammalia; Primates; Cercopithecidae. The record is from RefSeq and is a predicted model, not a curated record.